AACCAAGAAAUUUAGUCAUUCUUUUACGGUAAAAAGACAGUUAGGCUGAAAACUAAAAGCCAUGAGAUUUUUAAUAUAGGAGUAAAAUCUAAGUAUUAAAAGAUAUUCCAGGCAUGGUUUAUUUAAGACGCUGAAUCUGUGACAACUUUAAGGGAAACUGGGAUUGGAUACCCCAUUAUUUUUAGUUGUAAAUUUAGUCUAAGCUUACCGGAGUACUACGAAUCAAAAAAUUUAAAACUCAAAGGGCUUGGCGGUGUUUUAGACCUCUCAGGGGAACCUGUCUCAUAAUCGACAAUCCGCGCUAAACCUGACCUUUUCUGGUAAUGCAGCCUGUAUACCGUCGUCGUCAGGUAACUUCUUAAAAUAUAGUAGUUAGCUAGAGAAUUGUAUUAAUUAGGACGUCAGAUCAAGGUGCAGCUAAUGAGAGGGUGAAGAUGGGUUACAAUUACAAAUUUGUAAUAACGGAAAGGCGUUUGAAAUUAAAUGCCUUAAAGGAGGACUUGAAAGUAAUUUUAAGUAAAUAAAUAAAAUGAAUAAGGCUCUGAAACGUGC
Molecule: ribosomal RNA, 552 nt
Filed under: Conus aff. quercinus MNHN IM 2007-38080
Lineage: Eukaryota; Metazoa; Mollusca; Gastropoda; Neogastropoda; Conidae
Description: partial 12S ribosomal RNA
Source: RNAcentral